GAAACGCGAACCAAGCAGCAGUCCCCGCAGACUGCCUAAGACUUGGAGCGGACGCCGGUAACGGCGUCCUGUC
The submitters of this non-coding RNA (73 nucleotides) gave its source as unclassified sequences. The record is from Rfam.